Molecule: transfer RNA, 73 nt
Filed under: Dipodomys ordii (Ord's kangaroo rat)
Lineage: Eukaryota; Metazoa; Chordata; Mammalia; Rodentia; Heteromyidae
Rfam family: tRNA
About the family: Transfer RNA (tRNA) molecules are approximately 80 nucleotides in length. Their secondary structure includes four short double-helical elements and three loops (D, anti-codon, and T loops). Further hydrogen bonds mediate the characteristic L-shaped molecular structure. tRNAs have two regions of fundamental functional importance: the anti-codon, which is responsible for specific mRNA codon recognition, and the 3' end, to which the tRNAs corresponding amino acid is attached (by aminoacyl-tRNA synthetases). tRNAs cope with the degeneracy of the genetic code in two manners: having more than one tRNA (with a specific anti-codon) for a particular amino acid; and 'wobble' base-pairing, i.e. permitting non-standard base-pairing at the 3rd anti-codon position.
Source: Rfam by way of RNAcentral
AGGGAUGUGGCUUAGUGGUAAAGUGUUUGCCUCCCAUGCAUAAAAUGCUGAGUUCGAUUCCUCAGUACCACCA